AACCAUUCUCACCUGCGGCUAGACCUGCGGAGGGAUCAUUAACAAUUAUCCACCAAACAUGGGUAAUUUUAUCCAUAUCCACCUUGUGUGAAUUCAUUGAAUUGUUGGUUGGCAGGUUAAGUCGCGCUCUUUUGCGGAGUUAGUGGCUGUGGGUUUGGCAUUUUGAUGUCUCGCUCGGCCUGCCAAUUUUAUUAUGUUUAACUUGUCUAAAUAUUAUUGGUCUGAAAUACUACUUAUAAA
This 240-nucleotide unclassified non-coding RNA is filed under the name soil metagenome. RNAcentral describes it as "partial contains 5.8S ribosomal RNA, internal transcribed spacer 2, and large subunit ribosomal RNA". The record is from RNAcentral.